AUGUUCGUGUGGACACGAUCUGCCAACGAAGCUUUCGUCGCUCUCAAAAAAGCACUGAUUGAAGCUCCUGUGCUGGCGCUGCCCAACUUUCAGCAUCAGUUCGUUGUGGAGACGGAUGCAAGUGCCACGGGUAUAGGGGCAGUUCUUAUGCAGAAUAACCAUCCGGUGGCUUACUUGAGCAAAGCUCUAGCCCCUCGCAAUCUUGGGCUGUCAGCCUAUGAAAAAGAGUGCCUGGCUCUUCUCUUGACAGUGGAUCACUGGCGCCCCUACCUCCAGCAUGCAGAGUUUGUGGUUCGGACGGACCAAUAG
Molecule: ribosomal RNA, 309 nt
Filed under: Triticum aestivum (bread wheat)
Lineage: Eukaryota; Viridiplantae; Streptophyta; Magnoliopsida; Poales; Poaceae
Description: partial small subunit ribosomal RNA
Source: RNAcentral